GUACAUCUUUAAGUUUUUGCAUAUUAUAAAAAAACUCUCUUGCUCCUGUUUUGCCGUGGGCAUACGAGAGGGUCUGGCAGGAUUGGUACAACUUGGUGGCGCAUGUUGGGUCGAUUAGGGGGUGGGGGAUUGGCUUAAUGUCUUUCUGGGGUUUCUGACUAAUCAUGUUUCAUGUCAGCACUGGCCUUUCUCUUCAGGGCUGGGAGGACUUGGCCAAACACUUCUCGGAAUUUCUCCAUAUUUGUUUC
This is a non-coding RNA of Pelobates cultripes (western spadefoot toad), 248 nucleotides long. The record is from the annotation of a GenBank genome assembly. NCBI's taxonomy places the organism in Eukaryota, Metazoa, Chordata, Amphibia, Anura, Pelobatidae.